UCCCCGUUAUCCGAGGCGGUUUCGUCAGAGUCCCCAACUUAAUGCUGGCAACAUGCGACGGGGGUUGCGCUCGUUGCGGGACUUAACCCAACAUCUCACGACACGAGCUGACGACAGCCAUGCACCACCUGUGAUCCUGCCCCGAAGGGAAGCCCUGUUUCCAGAGCGGUCAGGAACAUGUCAAGCCCAGGUAAGGUUCUUCGCGUUGCGUCGAAUUAAACCACAUGCUCCGCUGCUUGUGCGGGUCCCCGUCAAUUCCUUUGAGUUUUAGCCUUGCGGCCGUACUCCCCAGGCGGGGCACUUAAUGCGUUAGCUUCGGCACGGAGGGAGUCGACACCCCCCACACCUAGUGCCCAUCGUUUACAGCGUGGACUAC
RNAcentral lists this unclassified non-coding RNA (376 nucleotides) under uncultured Solirubrobacteraceae bacterium. RNAcentral's name for it is "contains 16S-23S intergenic spacer region". Lineage: Bacteria; Bacillati; Actinomycetota; Thermoleophilia; Solirubrobacterales; Solirubrobacteraceae. The record is from RNAcentral.